Molecule: ribosomal RNA, 492 nt
Filed under: uncultured bacterium
Lineage: Bacteria
Description: partial 16S ribosomal RNA
Rfam family: Bacterial small subunit ribosomal RNA
Source: RNAcentral
AGUGAACGCUGGCGGUAGGCCUAACACAUGCAAGUCGAACGGCAGCACAGUAAUAGCUUGCUCUUACGGGUGGCGAGGGGCGGGUGAGGGAUGAAUAUAUCGGAGGCUACGUGUGCGAAGGGGAGAACGUAGGGGCACUUACGCCAUUACCGCAUACGACCUACGGGUGAAAGCAUCGGAUCUUCGGACCUCGCGCGAGUGAAUGAGGCGAGGUCGGAUUAGCUAGUUGGCGGGGUAAAGGCCCACCAAGGCGACGAUCCGUAGCUGGUCUGAGAGGAUGAUCAGCCACACUGGAACUGAGACACGGUCCAGACUCCUACGGGAGGCAGCAGUGGGGAAUAUUGGACAAUGGGCGAAAGCCUGAUCCAGCCAUGCCGCGUGUGUGAAGAAGGUCUUCGGAUUGUAAAGCACUUUUGGUGGGAAGGAAGAGCAGUAAGUUAAUACCUCGCUGUUUUGACGUUACCAAAAGAAUAAGCACCGGCUAACUUCGUG